GACGAACGCUGGCGGCGUGCUUAGCACAUGCAAGUCGAACGGAAAGGCCCUGCUUUUGUGGGGUGCUCGAGUGGCGAACGGGUGAGUAACACAUGAGUCACCUGCCCUUGACUUUGGGAUAACUUCAGACAACCGGGGCUACUACCGGCUAGGAGCUCCUGCUGCAUGGUGGGGGUUGGAAAGUUUCGGCGGUUGGGGAUAGACUCGCGGCUUAUCAGCUUGUUGGUCGGGUAGUGGCUUACCAAGGCUUUGACGGGUAGCCGGCCUGAGAGGGUGGACAGCGACAAUGGGACUGAGAUACGGCGCAGUCUCCAACGGGAGGCAGCAGGGGGGAAUAUUGCACAAUGGGCGGAAGCCUGAUGCGGCAGCGCCGCGUGCGGGAUGACGGCCUUCGGGUGGUAAACCGCUUUCGCCUGUGACGAAGCGGGAGUGACGGUAAUGGGUAAAGAAGCACCGGCUAACUACGUG
This 468-nucleotide ribosomal RNA is filed under the name uncultured bacterium. RNAcentral describes it as "partial 16S ribosomal RNA". It matches the Rfam family "Bacterial small subunit ribosomal RNA", at positions 28 to 507 of the family's 1533-position model. The record is from RNAcentral.